AUUGAACGCUGGCGGCAUGCUUUACACAUGCAAGUCGAACGGCAGCGCGGGCUUCGGCCUGGCGGCGAGUGGCGAACGGGUGAGUAAUGCAUCGGAACGUGCCCAGUAGUGGGGGAUAGCCCGGCGAAAGCCGGAUUAAUACCGCAUACGAUCUGAGGGUGAAAGCGGGGGACCGAAAGGCCUCGCGCUAUUGGAGCGGCCGAUGUCGGAUUAGCUUGUUGGUGGGUUAAAGGCUUACCAAGGCGACGAUCCGUAACUGGUCUGAGAGGACGACCCGCCACACUGGGACUGAGACCCGGCCCAGACUCCUACGGGAGGCAGCAGUGGGGAAUUUUGGACAAUGGAGGCAACCCUGAUCCAGCCAUGCCGCGUGCGGGAAGAAGGCCUGCGGGUUGUAAACCGCUUUUGUUCGGGAAGAAAUACUCUGGGCUAAUACCCCGGGGGGAUGACGGUACCGGAAGAAUAAGCACCGGCUAACUACGUG
This 484-nucleotide ribosomal RNA is filed under the name uncultured bacterium. RNAcentral's name for it is "partial 16S ribosomal RNA". It matches the Rfam family "Bacterial small subunit ribosomal RNA", at positions 28 to 507 of the family's 1533-position model. The record is from RNAcentral.